RNAcentral lists this non-coding RNA (23 nucleotides) under Arabidopsis thaliana (thale cress). The record is from RNAcentral. Lineage: Eukaryota; Viridiplantae; Streptophyta; Magnoliopsida; Brassicales; Brassicaceae.
UCUAACCUCAUAUAGCCCAUCCC